GGCGGACGGGUGAGUAAUGCUUGGGAAUAUGCCUUUUGGUGGGGGACAACAGUUGGAAACGACUGCUAAUACCGCAUGAUGUCUACGGACCAAAGUGGGGGACCUUCGGGCCUCACGCCAAGAGAUUAGCCCAAGUGGGAUUAGCUAGUUGGUAAGGUAAUGGCUUACCAAGGCGACGAUCCCUAGCUGGUUUGAGAGGAUGAUCAGCCACACUGGGACUGAGACACGGCCCAGACUCCUACGGGAGGCAGCAGUGGGGAAUAUUGCACAAUGGGCGCAAGCCUGAUGCAGCCAUGCCGCGUGUGUGAAGAAGGCCUUCGGGUUGUAAAGCACUUUCAGUAAGGAGGAAAGGUUAAGUUUUAAUAGGGCUUAGCUGUGACGUUACUUACAGAAGAAGCACCGGCUAACUCCGUGCCAGCAGCCGCGGUAAUACGGAGGGCGCGAGCGUUAAUCGGAAUUACUGGGCGUAAAGCGUAC
Molecule: ribosomal RNA, 477 nt
Filed under: uncultured Pseudoalteromonas sp.
Lineage: Bacteria; Pseudomonadati; Pseudomonadota; Gammaproteobacteria; Alteromonadales; Pseudoalteromonadaceae
Description: bacterial SSU rRNA
Rfam family: Bacterial small subunit ribosomal RNA
Source: RNAcentral